Molecule: ribosomal RNA, 248 nt
Filed under: uncultured Bacillus sp.
Lineage: Bacteria; Bacillati; Bacillota; Bacilli; Caryophanales; Bacillaceae
Description: partial 16S ribosomal RNA
Rfam family: Bacterial small subunit ribosomal RNA
Source: RNAcentral
UACGUAGGUGGCAAGCGUUGUCCGGAAUUAUUGGGCGUAAAGGGCUCGCAGGCGGUUCCUUAAGUCUGAUGUGAAAGCCCCCGGCUUAACCGGGGAGGGUCAUUGGAAACUGGAAGACUGGAGUGCAGAAGAGGGUAGUGGAACUCCAUGUGUAGCGGUGGAAUGCGUAGAGAUGUGGAGGAACACCAGUGGCGAAGGCGACUCUCUGGUCUGUAACUGACGCUGAGGAGCGAAAGCGUGGGGAGCGA